GUGCGAGCGUUAAUCGGAAUUACUGGGCGUAAAGCGUGCGCAGGCGGCUUUGCAAGACAGAGGUGAAAUCCCCGGGCUCAACCUGGGAACUGCCUUUGUGACUGCAAGGCUAGAGUACGGCAGAGGGGGAUGGAAUUCCGCGUGUAGCAGUGAAAUGCGUAGAUAUGCGGAGGAACACCGAUGGCGAAGGCAAUCCCCUGGGCCUGUACUGACGCUCAUGCACGAAAGCGUGGGGAGCAAACAGGAUUAGAUACCCUGGUAGUCAAGGGCG
RNAcentral lists this ribosomal RNA (271 nucleotides) under uncultured Burkholderiales bacterium. RNAcentral's name for it is "partial 16S ribosomal RNA". It matches the Rfam family "Bacterial small subunit ribosomal RNA", at positions 532 to 802 of the family's 1533-position model. The record is from RNAcentral. Lineage: Bacteria; Pseudomonadati; Pseudomonadota; Betaproteobacteria; Burkholderiales.